AAAGUGGCGAGACCAUGAGUUGGAACUUGUUGAAGUUGUUGCAGAUCAGGUUGCUGUUGCUUUGUCACAUGCUGCUAUUCUGGAAGAGUCUAUGCGGGCACGUGNNNNNNNNNNNNNAUGGUGCUUUGAAAUCAGCUCGUCAAGAGGCAGAAAUGGCAAUUCAUGCUCGUAAUGAUUUCCUUGCUGUGAUGAACCAUGAAAUGAGGACACCGAUGCAUGCAAUUAUUGCAUUGUCUUCACUUCUUUUAGAGACCGACCUAACUCCAGAACAAAGAGCAAUGAUUGAGACAGUACUAAAGAGUAGUAACCUUUUGGCAACACUUACUAAUGAUGUUUUAGAUCUUUCUAGACUUGAAGAUCGCAGCCUGGAGUU
RNAcentral lists this unclassified non-coding RNA (373 nucleotides) under Hevea brasiliensis (rubber tree). Lineage: Eukaryota; Viridiplantae; Streptophyta; Magnoliopsida; Malpighiales; Euphorbiaceae. The record is from RNAcentral.